Coffea arabica (coffee) is the source of this 661-nucleotide long non-coding RNA. RefSeq lists it as uncharacterized. Lineage: Eukaryota; Viridiplantae; Streptophyta; Magnoliopsida; Gentianales; Rubiaceae. The record is from RefSeq and is a predicted model, not a curated record.
ACAUUAAUAACUGCUAAUUUGAAAAAGUUUUAUACUGACAAUAUAUAAAAAUUUAAUCCAAAAAUUUGUAGUAGAAGAUUUAUCCCGCGGAAAAUAUUCUCCAGCAGCGGCAGGCCAGUGCGAAAUCCGGUGGGGGAGUUCGUCGGAUUCUUCCAAUCCGGUCAAAUUAAAUUUCGCAUUGGGGAUUGAACGUCCCCAUAAGAAUCAGACGGCUGGGAGAGAUGAAAGGCUCAUCAUGCGCUCUCGUUGUGUCAUGUGUGCGUUCUCUCCGCUUCCACGGUGGCCCUCUCCUCCUCCUCAGGUGACCGCCACCUCACCUUUGCCACCCCUUGUCCCAAUCAGGAAUUUUCACAAUCCUCUGCCUCUUCUCCGGCGGGGAAUGAGAGGGGAAAGAAUUGGGGGCGGAAGGCAAGUCUAGAAAAGGAGAAUUUUGCUCCAAGAUUCGAUGGGUUGAGGUUCAUUGAGACUUUGGUCACGGCCCACAGGUGAAAGCUGCCGAAAUGGUGGUGAGGCACUUGUGCCAAGGAAAUGGUGGUAUCAGUUCUUUAAGAUUUCAUUGUUUUAAAAUUCAUACACAAAAGAGAAACCCAUAAUUUGCCUUUGAUUUUGAUUUUUUUUCUAAAUUGUGAUUCCGGAUUGAUGAGUGACACUUUUUUUUUUU